AGCGGCGGACGGGUGAGUAAUGCCUAGGAGUYCUGCCUGGUAGUGGGGGACAACGUUUCGAAAGGAACGCUAAUACCGCAUACGUCCUACGGGAGAAAGCAGGGGACCUUCGGGCCUUYGCGCUAUCAGAUGAGCCUAGGUCGGAUUAGCUAGUUGGUGAGGUAAUGGCUCACCAAGGCGACGAUCCGUAACUGGUCUGAGAGGAUGAUCAGUCACACUGGAACUGAGACACGGUCCAGACUCCUACGGGAGGCAGCAGUGGGGAAUAUUGGACAAUGGGCGAAAGCCUGAUCCAGCCAUGCCGCGUGUGUGAAGAAGGUCUUCGGAUUGUAAAGCACUUUAAGUUGGGAGGAAGGGUUGUAGAUUAAUACUCUGCAAUUUUGACGUUACCGACAGAAUAAGCACCGGCUAACUCUGUGCCA
RNAcentral lists this ribosomal RNA (422 nucleotides) under Pseudomonas sp. Its description in RNAcentral is "bacterial SSU rRNA". Lineage: Bacteria; Pseudomonadati; Pseudomonadota; Gammaproteobacteria; Pseudomonadales; Pseudomonadaceae. The record is from RNAcentral.